GGGUUUAGGAUAAUUAAACUUAGGACCUUCAAAGCCCUUAAUAGAAGUUGAAACCUUCUAACCCUUG
This 67-nucleotide transfer RNA is filed under the name Batrachoseps gavilanensis (Gabilan Mountains slender salamander). Its description in RNAcentral is "tRNA-Trp". The record is from RNAcentral. Lineage: Eukaryota; Metazoa; Chordata; Amphibia; Caudata; Plethodontidae.